RNAcentral lists this ribosomal RNA (497 nucleotides) under uncultured bacterium. RNAcentral's name for it is "partial 16S ribosomal RNA". It matches the Rfam family "Bacterial small subunit ribosomal RNA", at positions 28 to 507 of the family's 1533-position model. The record is from RNAcentral.
GAUGAACGCUGGCGGCGUGCCUAAUACAUGCAAGUCGAGCGAACGGACGAGAAGCUUGCUUCUCUGAUGUUAGCGGCGGACGGGUGAGUAACACGUGGAUAACCUACCUAUAAGACUGGGAUAACUUCGGGAAACCGGAGCUAAUACCGGAUAAUAUUUUGAACCGCAUGGUUCAAAAGUGAAAGACGGUCUUGCUGUCACUUAUAGAUGGAUCCGCGCUGCAUUAGCGAGUUGGUAAGGUAACGGCUUACCAAGGCAACGAUGCAUAGCCGACCUGAGAGGGUGAUCGGCCACACUGGAACUGAGCCACGGUCCAGACUCCUACGGGAGGCAGCAGUAGGGAAUCUUCCGAAAUGGGCGAAAGCCUGACGGAGCAACGCAGCGUGAGUGAUGAAGGGCUUCGGAUCGUAAAACUCUGUUAUUAGGGAAGAACAUAUGUGUAAGUAACUGUGCACAUCUUGACGGUACCUAAUCAGAAGGCCAGGGCUAAGUACGUG